AUAUAAUCCUUGCUAUGUGAUCUUUUGAAGGAACAGUUCCACGACCGGACACUGGAAAUACAGUAUUAACAAGUUCUGAAAGACGGCUCAGACAGAGGGUUAGGAAAGCAGUCUGGAAUAUUUCAAUGGAAGAUAACAUUUGGUCCUUUGCUUCUGAACUGAGAGCUGGUGGAACUCCUUUGACGUCUGUAUCACGUGAAAUUCUUUCAAGCAGGUUUUCUAACAUAGAGAAGAGUUUUGGAUAUCCAAGAGUG
RNAcentral lists this unclassified non-coding RNA (254 nucleotides) under Hevea brasiliensis (rubber tree). The record is from RNAcentral. Lineage: Eukaryota; Viridiplantae; Streptophyta; Magnoliopsida; Malpighiales; Euphorbiaceae.